This 96-nucleotide microRNA precursor is filed under the name Xyrichtys novacula (pearly razorfish). The record is from RNAcentral. Lineage: Eukaryota; Metazoa; Chordata; Actinopteri; Labriformes; Labridae.
AAGGUCAGCAACGCUCGUGUCCUUCUUUCGGAUGAUAUUUAUUGACUGAAGUCAUUAAAUAUCAUCCGAAAGAAGGACACUAGCGUUGCUGGCCUU